RNAcentral lists this long non-coding RNA (221 nucleotides) under Lathyrus oleraceus (garden pea). RNAcentral's name for it is "Pisum sativum (pea) long non-coding RNA (PSAT_LNC026998)". Lineage: Eukaryota; Viridiplantae; Streptophyta; Magnoliopsida; Fabales; Fabaceae. The record is from RNAcentral.
UCCACGUUUUUUUCUUAUUUUCUGAUUUUCAUUUUAUUUGGUUUAUUUUCAUUAAUUCAUAUUAAUUUUAAUAUUGAUCCAAAAAAUAUGAGAGUUUAGUGGUCCACGUUUUUUUCUUAUUUUCUGAUUUUCAUUUUAUUUGGUUUAUUUUCAUUAAUUCAUAUUAAUUUUAAUAUUGAUCCAAAAAAUAUGAGAGUUUCACCAAAAAAAUUUAAAUAAAU